Molecule: long non-coding RNA, 733 nt
Organism: Rhinolophus ferrumequinum (greater horseshoe bat)
Lineage: Eukaryota; Metazoa; Chordata; Mammalia; Chiroptera; Rhinolophidae
Exons: 5
Source: RefSeq, a predicted model, not a curated record
UAGUAUUUGGAGUCUGAUCUGAACUUGGCAUCCUCUGCAUUAGAUUGCUCAACCUGUCUGCUGCACAGAAACUCACCUCCCUAACCACUGCUUGCUGCUUUCGAUUUUUUGCAUUAGCCUACACGCAAAGCCACUGUCAGAUGUCAGAUGGAGAUGAGACUUCACAAGAAACCCCAAUGAAGGCAAAGGCCUACACUCUGCCAUGACUCGUGUCUUCUGCCUCCUGACCACCCUGGGGUUUGUCUGUGCGGCCCUGCAUGGCCACGCUUCCUAUCUCUAGGAUCUAUCCAUUCUCUGCUCUUCUCCACGGUGCUCUGUGCCCGCAAGCUGACUUCCAUGUCCUGCACCACCUGAGCUCUCUCACACUCUUACUUCCCCUUGGGUUCAUCAGUGGGAAGGACCAGCUCUUUGUCCCUUAAUCUGAGGAAAUAACAGCAUCAGGAGAAUCUUCCCACCGAGUCGUCUGAAUGAAGGCUGUUGGUUACAAGACUCUACUGGUUACACGUCAGCCCUACUCAAUAUGCAAGGGGAAUUUACAAGACAUGCAUACCAGGAGUUGAGGACUGCUGGAGCCACAUCAAAAGUUUUGCCUUUUCUACCACAUGCCACCCACUUACACAAUUACUUCUUUACAUGAACAUUUUAAACAAACCCAUCUUAAGCAAUAAUAUCUAUGAAAUCAUGGAUUUGAUGUGGUCUUUAUAUUUAUUUUAAUAAAUAUUUUCCAAAUAAA